GACGAACGCUGGCGGCGUGCCUAAUACAUGCCAGUAGAACGCACAGUUUAUACUGUAGCUUGCUACACCAUAGACUGUGAGUUGCGAACGGGUGAGUAACGCGUAGGUAACCUGCCUGGUAGCGGGGGAUAACUAUUGGAAACGAUAGCUAAUACCGCAUAAUAUUAAUUAUUGCAUGAUAAUUCAUUGAAAGGUGCAAUUGCAACACUACCAGAUGGACCUGCGUUGUAUUAGCUAGUAGGUGAGGUAACGGCUCACCUAGGCGACGAUACAUAGCCGACCUGAGAGGGUGAUCGGCCACACUGGGACGGAGACACGGCCCAGACUCCUACGGGAGGCAGCAGUAGGGAGUCUUCGGCAAUGGACGAAAGUCUGACCGAGCAACGCCGCGUGAGUGAAGAAGGUUUUCGGAUCGUAAAGCUCUGUUGUAAGAGAAGAACGGGUGUGAGAGUGGAAAGUUCACACUGUGACGGUAUCUUACCAGAAAGGGACGGCUAACUACGUG
Molecule: ribosomal RNA, 505 nt
Filed under: uncultured bacterium
Lineage: Bacteria
Description: partial 16S ribosomal RNA
Rfam family: Bacterial small subunit ribosomal RNA
Source: RNAcentral